CCUGCUUUCCCGCCCUGGCGUGUCUUCGAUCCCCUCCGGUCUCCGUUUAAAACACUUGAGCACACGUGGGCUGGGUGCCGAACUCAAGGGUUCCGGACCGGGAGCUGUGGGCGCGCUAGGCUGUUGCCAGGAGCACAGCACUGUAAGUAAGCUUCAAGAGGGCAGGAGCCAUGUGGCCAUCCCUCCAGAAUGCUCCCUUGCCAAAUAGACAGUUGGUUGUAACCUGGCCAAGCUCCUGCUAUGUCCGAAGAAUAAGGCAGACUGGAGGGAAAAAUGACCAUAAGAUCUAUAUAAUCAAGUCUAUCAGCAAGACAUAUGGGCUGCUCUCCAAGUUCUCCCAGCAUUCAUGCAUCCAGCCGGGAUAUAGCAACAGCUUCAUUCCCACCAAAACAGCAACAGAAGACACCAAACUCUGUUCCUUCAAUAGGGGAAGUUUGGAAAUUCACAGACUUACUGCCUAUUUUAGCCUCCAAUUUAUCAUUUCCAAAUCAAAGAGAGCUUCAAUUGUAUGCACCACCAAGAAAGGACAAAGAGUUGCCAAUUUAACUACACAACAUGUUAUCAUUUAGGAUUUUCGUGUUUUUGCUUAUUAAAGACUACUUUUAGACUUGCACAUAGAUUUUUUUUAUACUAAUAUGCAUAUAUAAAAAAGAAACAUAAGCAAAUUAAAUUGAGUAAAGUAUUUCUAAAAAUUUUGUACACUAAAUAUAAUUCUGAAUCCCUUUUCAUACAGAACAUCAAUAUGUGUUUUUGCACACAAUACUAAUGACAGGGCAGCAUUUCUUAAAAGAAUUUCCUAGUCUUGUCUCUGGAAUUUGCUUCCUAGCCACUAACACUCAUUCUGCAAGUUUGAUGCUGGGGCCAUCCUGUUUGAUGCCAUUACAAGCUCUGCAAUUUUUUUGUUUUAUGUUUAUUCAUUUCCUUUGAGAAAGAGAGAGCAAGCAGAAGCGGGGGAGAGAGAGAGGAAGAGGGAGAAUCCCAAGCAGGUUCUGUGCUGUCAUUGGGGCUCGAUGUCAGGAAUCGGAAGAUCAUGACCAGAGCCAAGAUCAAGAGUUGGACGCUUAACCGACUGAGCCCCCCCAGUGCCCCUCUACAGCUUCUCUUUUAAUGGCCACAAGAAAGUUUCUGACAAAUUAAAUUCCAUGCCUUAAUGAUAGUCGUAUAUAAUACAUGAAUUGCUUUUACCAGCCUCUUGUUGCUUUGGAAUUUCUUUCACCUAAUUUGGCAAUUUCUCUCGCCUUCAAUAGCAUCUGUUAUCAUAUGACUUUGACACGUGUAGUACUAAAUUGCAGAGACCUCGGUGAAAUGAUGACAAUUCGAGCAGUUGUGACCAUGUUCACAAAUAAAGAGGCAAUGCCAACUAUUAUAUCAUGACUGCCAUCUGGCCAUUGCUUAUUUCUGAAGUAAGACAUGUACCAGUUCCAGAGACAUUAAAAUGUGGGGCCAAAGUGCUUCUUAGAAUUGGAAAAAGAUAUACAUUGAGCUAAUGAGGAAUGAUAGGUUCCAGUGGUAUAUAUAUUAUUUUUCCAUUUUUAAAAAUUAAUUUGUCCAGUUCUAUUGAGUUAUAUUUGACAUAACAUUGUACUAGUUUAAGGUAUACAGCAUAAUGGUUGAUACAUGUAUAUAUUUCAAAAUGUUUACAAGUGAGUUCUCAUGCAUUACCUCACAGUUAUAACUUUUGUGUGUGCCGAGAAGUUUUUCAAUUUGCUGCUAGCAACUUCCAAAUAUAUAAUAAUUAACUGCAAUCAUCAUGGUGUCCUUUAUGCCCCCAGAAUUUACUUAUAAGUACAAGUUUGCACGUCUUGACCACCUUCACUCCUUACCCCCGAUGAUAUUAAAAUAUUCGAUGGUACAAGAUACCAGAGGCUGAGAUACCAAUUAUUGUUAUAUGUACGAAAUCAAUUUGCAUUGAUCACUAGUUAUAUGCCUGGUAUAAUAAUUGUGCUAAUUUAAGUGUCCUUUGUUAGCUAACUAUAUCUAAAACAUUAAAAAAUAGCAGGAGAUACCCAACCUGAAUUAGAUGCAUGGGAAGCUCCCUGUUCCCUGAAUACCUUUGUAAAGACGCAUAGAUAGAACUAGGCCGGAAGAAUAGGUACACUAUUGCGAGGUGGAGAACAAAAGAAGGGUAUCCCAGAAACAUGUCCCAGCAUGAGCAAAAACAUGAAAGGAUGGCUGGAAAACAAAUAUUAAGUGCCAACUGUGUGUCACACAUUGUCAUUAUUAUGUAGAAUUCAAUCUCUCUCAUUAAUCCUGUCUCUACUUAAGUAUGAAGUGCUGAGGGUCACAAUGCUCUUCUCAUACUAUUGGGGAAGUGGUUGAGUAAGAAUCCCAACUUGAGGGGGUGCCUGGGUGGCUCAGUUGUUUAAGCGAUUGACUUUGGCUCAGGUCGUGAUCUCAUGGUUUGUGGGUUCGAACCCCUCCUCAGGCUCUGUGCUGACAGUGUGGAGUC
Molecule: long non-coding RNA, 2449 nt
Organism: Felis catus (domestic cat)
Lineage: Eukaryota; Metazoa; Chordata; Mammalia; Carnivora; Felidae
Exons: 3
Source: RefSeq, a predicted model, not a curated record